CUUCAUGAGACGCGGGCAACAGCUCCGACUACCCGCGCACCAACCCCAGGUUCGUGGGUGGUUCGGAUGAGGAAGCGGCCCGCACGACAACGUGUUGGGUAAGAACGCACG
Molecule: non-coding RNA, 111 nt
Filed under: Arthrobacter rhombi
Lineage: Bacteria; Bacillati; Actinomycetota; Actinomycetes; Micrococcales; Micrococcaceae
Description: SAM-IV sequence
Rfam family: SAM (S-adenosyl methionine) riboswitch aptamer
About the family: SAM-IV is a mRNA element that regulates gene expression via direct sensing of S-adenosylmethionine (SAM or AdoMet). SAM-IV riboswitches share conserved nucleotide positions with the previously described SAM-I riboswitches sequence analysis and molecular recognition experiments suggest that SAM-I and SAM-IV riboswitches share similar ligand binding sites, but have different scaffolds.
Source: Rfam by way of RNAcentral